GAGCCGUUAGCUCAGCUGGUAGAGCAUCGCCCUUUUAAGGCGAGGGUCGCAGGUUCGACCCCUGCACGGCUCA
This 73-nucleotide transfer RNA is filed under the name Clostridia bacterium. RNAcentral's name for it is "tRNA-Lys". It matches the Rfam family "tRNA". Rfam says of the family: Transfer RNA (tRNA) molecules are approximately 80 nucleotides in length. Their secondary structure includes four short double-helical elements and three loops (D, anti-codon, and T loops). The record is from RNAcentral. Lineage: Bacteria; Bacillati; Bacillota; Clostridia.